GCCGGGGCUGCGGGGCGCCGGCGCAAGGGCCAGCCUGGCGCUGCUCUCGCUGCUUGGCCGGCGCCCGCUCUUCAGCGCUGGGCAGCAGCAGAAGGGCGCCGGGGUUAUGUGAAAUCGGGAGGGUUUGCGUCUCUUCGGGGCCUUUCGGCCUCUUGAGGGAACCCGAUCUGUUUGUAUUUAUAUGAAGCGUGCGUAGAGUGUAGUUACCAGGCGCGCGAUACGUAGUGAGGGGUGGGGGAGAAGGAUGAAGGUAAUUUAAAGCGAGUCCGUAACAUCGCUCCUUGGGAGCGGCUAGCCGGGUUCAGACCCUGUGGGAAGGGUCCUGGAGGAAGGAGCCAAGCGCUCGGCUGGAGCUUGGGCGACCGGAGAUCCUCUCUGCGAACGAAAAUGCAGCUUAUAUUCCGGUGCAGCUUAUAUACGGACAAAGACCUAAACGUUAUCGACACCCAGACGUGCGGCUUAUAAUCAGUGGGACAGGUCUUCUCCCCAGCUGCUGACACUUGGUAAAGGAAAGGGGCUGAACCCAGUGAGUUGAAGAAAGAAGCAAAGCAAGAAGAUGGGAAAGGAAGGAAAUUGCAUUGAAGGUUGGAUGGGUGCGUGCGAUUCAGUAGAGUGCCUACCUGAUCUCCAAAAAAUGAAAAGAGUAGCAAAUUGAAAGUUUGAGUAACUUUACCUCAGUCAGCUUUUUAUUCUUGUUCUGCUGACCAAGUGCAUCAGUAGUUUUUCUUUCUCUGCAGCUGGCUUUUUUCGUCAGUCUCUUCCCACACAGAACUUUAUAAUAUUUUUUUUUCUAAAAUUAACUCCAAACCUUAAACUGUUGUUCUUAAGCACUGAUGUUCUGUGCCAACAAUUAUUUUAUACUGUCCUUUUGCUAGCCUAGAACAUAAUUAAGCAUGUUCACAGCUGUUCAGUUCUUGAUGCAAAAGAUUCCCUCAGCUUGCAUUGAU
RNAcentral lists this long non-coding RNA (947 nucleotides) under Catharus ustulatus (Swainson's thrush). RNAcentral's name for it is "lncRNA (ENSCUSG00005004607.1)". Lineage: Eukaryota; Metazoa; Chordata; Aves; Passeriformes; Turdidae. The record is from RNAcentral.